Molecule: unclassified non-coding RNA, 3258 nt
Filed under: Haliotis rufescens (red abalone)
Lineage: Eukaryota; Metazoa; Mollusca; Gastropoda; Lepetellida; Haliotidae
Description: uncharacterized LOC124152648, transcript variant X1
Source: RNAcentral
ACUUGUCAUGACAAGUGCGUCGUAUCCACCUACACGAGUACUCGCAGUAAACAUCGACUAGUGACUUAUAUCAUAUAUACAGAACGGAUUAUCUAACAUGUAAAGUGUUGGUGAUGAUCUUCUGAUGUUCCUUAUGUUCUUGACAAAUCGACAGCGAGAGGGAAAGUUUUUGUGAUUAAGGUUUCUUGAAAUGUGUCGAAUUAUAUUUCUCCCUCUGGAAAGCUACAAGAACGCCGUGAGCAUACCGGAAACACAGAACAUAUAGGCUUGUCAACACAGGGAACACCUAUACACAUCCGUGAAAAUGUCUUUCUUAAGAAGGCUGCAAGACGGUAACGCAGUUACGCACCAACACGAUGGACCCCCUUGCACACCAGUGGAAACGCCAGUUUUUAGAGAGCUACGGGAAGGCAGGGGUGCAAGUGACAACGGAUCUAGACGAGAGCUACAGGAAGGCAGGGAUGCAAGUGACACCGGACCUAGACGAGAGCUACGGGAAGGCAGGGGUGCAAGUGACAACGGAUCUAGACGAGAGCUACAGGAAGGCAGGGAUGCAAGUGACACCGGACCUAGACGAGAGCUACGGGAAGGCAGGGGUGCAAGUGACAACGGAUCUAGACGAGAGCUGCAGGAAAGCAGGGGUGCAAGUGACAACGGAUCUAGACGAGAGCUGCAGGAAAGCAGGGAUGCAAGCGACACCGGACCUAGACGAGAGCUACGGGAAGGCAGUGAUGCAAGUGACACCGGACCUAGACGGGAGCAGCAACGUGAUGAGGCUUCUGACAGAACAGCAAGGCGAAUGUUUGAAGAACGCAGGAAGAUUGCCGAAAGCAAAGCCAGGCGGCGAUUACGCACACAGCGGACGUCACGGGAAAUAACUCCCCUUCUUUUGAAACACAAACGUGUCAUUGUUGGUACUGCCGUUGCAGUCGGUGCUGUUGUUGCACUGGCUGCCGUCGUAGGUAUUCUAGCCAGUAGAAACACUAAACCGAUAACAGCAACAACGACAACGACAUCAACAACUACAACGUUUCUGCUUCCAUCUCUGUCAAUGCAAAAUGUGACCUUCUUUGAGGGAGAAGAGGAUCUGUAUCUCCUGUGCACGAUAUCUGGUGACGAAGAAAUAUCCGAGGUCUUAUUUUUCAAAGAUGACGCUCAGCUGAAGGAUGGGUAUAGUAUUGACGUCAAUGGGAGGCAAUAUGCCCUGACAAAGAAAGGAGCCACGUGCUCGGACUCGGGAAAGUAUAUGUGUCGGGCGACUGGGGAGUUUGGAACCAUCUACACAGCAUCCACGGUAAAUAUAUCUGCGAAGCCAUGUAAACCUACGCUAAAAGAUGCAUGGCAGAUCAUUUUGAACAACAUUUCAAGUAAUCCAAACAGUAUGAAUCAACAGGGAUUUGAGGUGCCACAAGCGUGUAAUGGAACUUUGGUCGACGCUGAGAGAUGCUGUUACCUCAUAGACAAUGGGGGGAUAACUCUGCAUCUGAAAGGAUGUGAGAACUUCACCUUCACGGCAGACGUGUCUCCCUGUGACUGUACGGCUGACCGUGUGGCAGUCCCCAGACCCACCACAUACCCCGACAACUGUAACCUGUACUACACGUGUAGUGGAGGUGUCAAACAGGACGCCACGUGUACCGGAAGUGACUUCACUGCCGACCCCAGCAAGCAGGCGUGUACCGCCAAUCCAGAUGACAGCUAUUGUGCCAAGGUCAAAGCAGGUGAAAUCAAGGCAUGCUCAUCGCCCGCAGGAUAACACAGAGUGACACAGAGUGAGACAGAGUGACACAGAGUGACACAGAGUGAGAUAGAGUGACAAAGAGUGACAAAGAGUGACACAAGCUAACACAGACUGACACAGAGUGAGACAGGGUAACACAGAGUGACACAGAGUGAGAUAGAGUGACACAGAGUGACACAGAGUGAGAUAGAGUGACAAAGAGUGACACAGGCUAACACAGACUGACACAGAGUGAGACAGGGUAACACAGACUGACACAGGUUAACACAGAGUGAGACAGGUUAACACAGAGUGACACAGAGUGAGACAGGGUAACACAGAGUAACACAGAGUGAGAUAGAGUGACACAGAGUGACACAGAGUGACACAAAGCGAGAUAGAGUGACAAAGAGUGACACAGGCUAACACAGAGUGACACAGAGUGAGACAGGGUAACACAGACUGACACAGGCUAACACAGAGUGAGACAGGUUAACACAGACUGACACAGAGUGAGACAGGGUAACACAGAGUGAGAUAGAGUGACACAGAGUGACACAGAGUGACACAGGCUAACACAGACUGACACAGAGUGAGACAGGUUAACACAGAGUGACACAGAGUGAGAUAGAGUGACACAGAGUGACACAGAGUGAGAUAGAGUGACAAAGAGUGACACAGGCUAACACAGAGUGACACAGAGUGAGACAGGGUAACACAGACUGACACAGAGUGAGACAGGUUAACACAGAGUGACACAGAGUGAGACAGGUUAACACAGAGUGACACAGAGUGAGAUAGAGUGACACAGAGUGACACAGAGUGAGAUAGAGUGACAAAGAGUGACACAGGCUAACACAGAGUGACACAGAGUGAGACAGGGUAACACAGACUGACACAGGUUAACACAGACUGACACAGAGUGAGACAGGGUAACACGGACUGACACAGGUUAACACAGAGUGAGACAGGUUAACACAGAGUGACACAGAGUGAGACAGGUUAACACAGAGUGACACAGAGUGAGACAGGUUAACACAGAGCGACACAGAGUGAGACAGGUUAACACAGACUGACACAGAGUGAGACAGGGUAACACAGACUGACACAGGUUAACACAGAGUGAGACAGGUUAACACAGAGUGACACAGAGUGAGACAGGUUAACACAGAGUGACACAGGCUAACACCGUCUUACACAGAGUGGGACAGGUUAACACAGAGUGACACAGAGUGAGACGUCCAACUAGCGUCAGAUCAGAUGUGAACACACCUAUAGCAUUACCAUGGUUGACAUCCAAGCACACACACGUGACAACACUCAUACGCAAUGUUUACAGGUGGCAUAUUUAUUAUCAUGUCGUAUUGUUGGUUUACAAAACUAAUAUCACUUUAUGAUGGAGAUUAUGAUGAUGUUGAUAAUAACAAUAAUAAUAAUAAUAAUCAAAUGUGAUUUUGCAUCAAAAUUUAAAUAUGAAAUGUAGAUUAUGCAAAGUAGAAUAGCAAUUGGUACUAUUGUCAAUAAACGGUUUCACAAUG